Molecule: ribosomal RNA, 465 nt
Filed under: uncultured bacterium
Lineage: Bacteria
Description: partial 16S ribosomal RNA
Rfam family: Bacterial small subunit ribosomal RNA
Source: RNAcentral
GACGAACGCUGGCGGCGUGCUUAACACAUGCAAGUCGAACGGAAAGGCCCUGCUUGCAGGGUACUCGAGUGGCGAACGGGUGAGUAACACGUGGGUGAUCUGCCCUGCACUUCGGGAUAAGCCUGGGAAACUGGGUCUAAUACCGGAUAGGAGCCAUUUUUAGUGUGAUGGUUGGAAAGUUUUUUCGGUGUAGGAUGAGCUCGCGGCCUAUCAGCUUGUUGGUGGGGUAAUGGCCUACCAAGGCGGCGACGGGUAGCCGGCCUGAGAGGGUGGACGGCCACAUUGGGACUGAGAUACGGCCCAGACGCCUACGGGAGGCAGCAGUGGGGAAGAUUGCACAAGGGGCGCAAGCCUGAUGCAGCGACGCCGCGGGGGGGAUGACGGCCUUCGGGUUGUAAACUCCUUUCGCUAGGGACGAAGCUUUUUGUGACGGUACCUAGAGAAGAAGCACCGGCUAACUACGUG